AACAGGCCUAACUUGAAAUUUAACAAAUAUAACUUCUUCUCGAUCUUCCAUUCUUAAUUUUUCUUCCGUUGGUUUUCAAUCCACAAGAUGAUACUCUUGGCAAACGUGCCAGACAUUAAUCUUACUGUAGUCUUCUCCCCAAGUGCUUCAGCUAGAACAAACUUUACGAUCACCCUGGUCGUACAAUCAUAUACAUUAAACAAUUAAAUUUACCUUCGCUACCUUAGAUCAAAAUCCUUCCGAGUAAUGGAUAUUGAAGACUUUUUGGAUUCGUAAAAAUCUUGCAUUCUUACCAAAUAUAAUGCCUUCAUAACUUCACAGCAAGGAUGGUAAUCGUGAUUUCCAAAUCACCAGUAGGGUAAUUCAUCUCAUGAGGUUCCAUUUAUCGUGAAACGUAUGCAAUCACCCUAACAUUUGCAUCAACAUGCCUCCAAUACCAUUCAAGAAACAUCACUAAAAAUUUAUGAUUACCACUAUUAUUUGGGAAUACCAAAAUACGUGCAUGAGUGAGGAAAUACUUCAAUUGUUGAAUCCUUUGCUCACAAUUUCCUUCCCACUCAUACAUAACCUCUUUUCUCAACAGUCU
This 586-nucleotide long non-coding RNA is filed under the name Malus domestica (apple). RNAcentral's name for it is "long non-coding RNA (MDOM_LNC020463)". Lineage: Eukaryota; Viridiplantae; Streptophyta; Magnoliopsida; Rosales; Rosaceae. The record is from RNAcentral.